AGGACGAACGCUGGCGGCGUGCCUAACACAUGCAAGUCGAACGGAGUUCAACCGGUGGCAACACUGGUGAAGACUCAGUGGCGAACGGGUGCGUAACACGUGAGCAACCUGCCCCGAAGACUGGGAUAACGCCGGGAAACCGGUGCUAAUACCAGAUGCCCCCACGGAUUCACAUGGCUCUGUGAGGAAAGGAAUCCGCUUCGGGAGGGGCUCGCGGCCUAUCAGUUUGUGGUGGGGUAACGGCCUACCAAGACGACGACGGGUAGCUGGUCUGAGAGGACGAUCAGCCACACUGGGACUGAGACACGGCCCAGACUCCUACGGGAGGCAGCAGUGGGGAAUCUUGCGCAAUGGGCGAAAGCCUGACGCAGCAACGCCGCGUGGGGGAUGAAGGCUCUCGGGUUGUAAACCCCUUUCAGCAGGAACGAAACUGACGGUACCUGCAGAAGAAGCCCGGCAACUACGCGCCAGCAGCCGCGGUAA
RNAcentral lists this ribosomal RNA (483 nucleotides) under uncultured bacterium. Its description in RNAcentral is "SSU rRNA". It matches the Rfam family "Bacterial small subunit ribosomal RNA", at positions 26 to 523 of the family's 1533-position model. The record is from RNAcentral.